Molecule: ribosomal RNA, 293 nt
Filed under: uncultured bacterium
Lineage: Bacteria
Description: partial 16S ribosomal RNA
Rfam family: Archaeal small subunit ribosomal RNA
Source: RNAcentral
GUGCCAGCAGCCGCGGUAAUACCGGCAGCCCAAGUGAUGGCCGAUCUUAUUGGGCCUAAAGCGUCCGUAGCUGGCCUCGCAAGUCCGUCGGGAAAUCCAGUCGCCCAACGACUGGGCGUCCGGCGGAAACUACAAGGCUUGGGACCGGAAGGCUCGAAGGGUACGUCCGGGGUAGGAGUGAAAUCCCGUAAUCCCGCACGGACCACCGAUGGCGAAAGCACCUCGAGAAGACGGCUCCGACAGUGAGGGACGAAAGCUAGGGUCUCCAACCGGAUUAGAAACCCCGGUAGUCC